UUUCACAAUGUCGGCCCCAAAAUUGAGAAUCUUUAUUUUUAGGUGUUUGCUUCCAUCUUUAAAACUCUGACAAGUAAUUGCAGAUGAGACCAAAGAUGUGGAGGAACUUGCUUGAAGCACAGAAGGAUGAAGAACUGCACCACUUGAUUCCUUAAAGAAUUGUUGCAUCCAAUAGCUGGCAGUUCCAUAUUGCUGCCAGGAGUUGAACACAAUGGCAUCUGGGUUGAAUCUGCGAUCAUUGUCAUUAACAAAAAGUGGUGCACAGCUUGCCAUUUCAACGACAUCACUGUUUUGCUCCAAACCAAUCAGAAACCCUGCUUCCGCUAAUGCUGCUAAAAGGCUUCCAGUGCCAGCAUCUUUUCCCGUCACAGCAUACUCGCUGAUAAAAGCCUUGGGACCUGUACGUGGUGUGUGGUCAAAUUGGUG
This 426-nucleotide unclassified non-coding RNA is filed under the name Hevea brasiliensis (rubber tree). The record is from RNAcentral. Lineage: Eukaryota; Viridiplantae; Streptophyta; Magnoliopsida; Malpighiales; Euphorbiaceae.